GCCCGCCUAGCUCAAUCGGAUAGAGCGUCAGACUCUUAUAAGCUCCUCAAGUGGGUGUUGUGGGUAAUCUGAAGGCUGCGAGUUCGACCCUCGCGGUGGGCU
Molecule: non-coding RNA, 102 nt
Organism: Dendrothele bispora CBS 962.96
Lineage: Eukaryota; Fungi; Basidiomycota; Agaricomycetes; Agaricales
Source: the annotation of a GenBank genome assembly